ACGAAUGGUGCAAGCGUUACUCGGAAUUACUGGGCGUAAAGCGCGCGUAGGCGGCUUUGUAAGUUAGAGGUGAAAGCCCGAAGCUCAACUUCGGAAUUGCCUUUAAGACUGCAUCGCUAGAAUCAUGGAGAGGUUAGUGGAAUUCCGAGUGUAGAGGUGAAAUUCGUAGAUAUUCGGAAGAACACCAGUGGCGAAGGCGACUAACUGGACAUGUAUUGACGCUGAGGUGCGAAAGCGUGGGGAGCAAACAGGA
This 253-nucleotide ribosomal RNA is filed under the name uncultured prokaryote. Its description in RNAcentral is "partial 16S ribosomal RNA". It matches the Rfam family "Bacterial small subunit ribosomal RNA", at positions 525 to 777 of the family's 1533-position model. The record is from RNAcentral.